Molecule: ribosomal RNA, 468 nt
Filed under: uncultured bacterium
Lineage: Bacteria
Description: partial 16S ribosomal RNA
Rfam family: Bacterial small subunit ribosomal RNA
Source: RNAcentral
GACGAACGCUGGCGGCGUGCUUAACACAUGCAAGUCGAACGGAAAGGCCCUGCUUUUGUGGGGUGCUCGAGUGGCGAACGGGUGAGUAACACGUGAGUAACCUGCCCUGGACUUUGGGAUAACUUCAGGAAACUGGGGCUAAUACCGGAUAGGAGCUCCUGCUGCAUGGUGGGGGUUGGAAAGUUUCGGCGGUUGGGGAUGGACUCGCGGCUUAUCAGCUUGUUGGUGGGGUAGUGGCUUACCAAGGCUUUGACGGGUAGCCGGCCUGAGAGGGUGACCGGCGACAUGGGGACUGAGAUACGGCGCAGACUCCUACGGGAGGCAGCAGUGGGGAAUAUUGCACAAUGGGCGGAAGCCUGAUGCAGCAACGCCGCGUGCGGGAUGACGGCCUUCGGGUUGUAAACCGCUUUCGCCUGUGACGAAGCGUGAGUGACGGUAAUGGGUAAAGAAGCACCGGCUAACUACGUG